UACUAAAAAUACAAAAAUUAGCUAGGCAUGGUGGCAGCUGGUGUAGUCCCAGUGUGGUGUAGUCCCAGCUACCUGGGAGGCUGAGGGAGGACAAUCGCUUGGACCCGUGAGGCAGAUGUUGCAGUGAGCAAAGAUGGCGCCAUUGUACUCCAACCCGUGCAACAGGACAAGACACUGUCUGAAAAAAAAUUAUAUAUGAUAUAUAUUAUAUGCUAUGUUUUA
This 222-nucleotide unclassified non-coding RNA is filed under the name Hevea brasiliensis (rubber tree). Lineage: Eukaryota; Viridiplantae; Streptophyta; Magnoliopsida; Malpighiales; Euphorbiaceae. The record is from RNAcentral.